This 558-nucleotide long non-coding RNA is filed under the name Helianthus annuus (common sunflower). RNAcentral describes it as "hypothetical non coding rna". The record is from RNAcentral. Lineage: Eukaryota; Viridiplantae; Streptophyta; Magnoliopsida; Asterales; Asteraceae.
UAUGGAAUGUUGACACCACAAACAAUAUUUCAACAACCGUUCACAACAGCCGCCUCAAACAGAGAUCGGAGAAAAAUUCAUCGGUGAGUCAGGCCUUAAAAAUAGAGUGGUUUUCCGGUGGUAAUAGAGAGAGAAAAAGAAACAGAUGUAGGACAGUGGAUCUCCAACAAAACCGUCAUCUCCGGCGACGGUUAAACAGCCGGAGAUCGUAGGAACCGAGUCGUCGCUGCCAGUGAAAUAUGCCGGACUGGUUGAAGAUGAUUGUAGCGCCGGUUAACCGAAAGUUCGAUGAUGCGUACCCGGAUUUGAGGAACGACGGUUAUUGAAAUUGGAGAAAAACUGUUGAAGAAUAAGUGGUGUGUUCCGCAGGAUGUGAGGAACAGAAGGUUGUCUUUCAGCGGAGAGUCAAGGUGCUGAUAACGUGAUAAAAACCAAAGAGCAAUAGAGAUAAAACUGAAUUCACAUAUUCAUUCUAUUCAACAUUACAAUAUAUAGAUAAAUAAAACCAUAAACCCUAAAGCCCAUAAGUAAUGGGUUGGGCCUAAAAUGUCUGGUUUA